UGGCUCUCGCAUCGAUGAAGAACGCAGCGAAAUGCGAUAAGUAAUGUGAAUUGCAGAAUUCAGUGAAUCAUCGAAUCUUUGAACGCACCUUGCGCUCUUUGGUAUUCCGAAGAGCAUGCCUGUUUGAGUGUCAUGUAGACUCACCCCUAAUGGUUUUUCUAUUAGAUGGUGGAUUGGGCGUCUGCCUCGGUUAACCCCUUGGCUCGCCUUAAAUGCAUUAGUAGGCCUUUGGAUGUAAUAAGUUUCAUCUGUGGUCGGCUUAUAACCCCCAUUACUUUUACACUCUGACCUCAAAUCAGGUAGGACUACCCGCUGA
Molecule: unclassified non-coding RNA, 316 nt
Filed under: uncultured fungus
Lineage: Eukaryota; Fungi
Description: partial contains 5.8S ribosomal RNA and internal transcribed spacer 2
Rfam family: 5.8S ribosomal RNA (bases 1-133)
Source: RNAcentral